GCCAGGUGUGGUGAUGCACACCUGUAGUCCCAGCUACUCGGGAGGCUGAGGCAGAAGAAUUGCUUGAACCUGGGAGGUGGAGUUUGCAGUGAGCCGAGAUUGCCCCACUGCACUCCAGCCUGGGUGACAGAGCGAGACUCUGUCUCAA
This 148-nucleotide non-coding RNA is filed under the name Pan troglodytes (chimpanzee). Lineage: Eukaryota; Metazoa; Chordata; Mammalia; Primates; Hominidae. The record is from Rfam by way of RNAcentral.